Molecule: non-coding RNA, 24 nt
Filed under: Arabidopsis thaliana (thale cress)
Lineage: Eukaryota; Viridiplantae; Streptophyta; Magnoliopsida; Brassicales; Brassicaceae
Source: RNAcentral
AGUCAGGUGGUUAAGAUUAGGUUA